Molecule: ribosomal RNA, 119 nt
Filed under: Pteropus alecto (black flying fox)
Lineage: Eukaryota; Metazoa; Chordata; Mammalia; Chiroptera; Pteropodidae
Source: RNAcentral
AACUAUGGCCAUGCCACCCUGAACAAGCCCAAUCCCGUCUGAUCUCAGAAGCUAAGCAGGGUCAGGCCUGGUUAGUAGUUGGAUGAGAGACCGCCUAGGAAGACCAGGUGCUAUAGGUG